This 440-nucleotide ribosomal RNA is filed under the name uncultured bacterium. RNAcentral's name for it is "partial 16S ribosomal RNA". It matches the Rfam family "Bacterial small subunit ribosomal RNA", at positions 338 to 795 of the family's 1533-position model. The record is from RNAcentral.
CCUACGGGUGGCAGCAGUGGGGAAUAUUGCACAAUGGGGGGAACCCUGAUGCAGCAACGCCGCGUGGGUGAAGAAGUACUCCGGUAUGUAAAGCCCUGUCAGCAGGGAAGAAAAUGACGGUACCUGACCAAGAAGCCCCGGCUAACUACGUGCCAGCAGCCGCGGUCAUCCGUAGGGGGCACGCGGUAUCCGGCUUUAAUGGGUGUAAAGGGAGCGUAGAUGGCAAGGCAAGUCUGGUGUGAAAGCCCGUGGCCCAACCACGGGACUGCUUUGGAAACUGUGUGGCUGGAGUGCAGGAGGGGUAAGCGGAAUGCGUAGUGUAGCGGUGAAAUGCGUAGAUAUUAGGCGGAACCCCGGUGGCGAAGGCAGCUUACUGGACUGUAACUGACGUUGAGGCUCGAAGGCGUGGGGAGCAAACAGGAUUAGAUACCCGAGUAGUC